GAUGAACGCUGGCGGCGUGCCUAAUACAUGCAAGUCGAGCGAACGGACGAGAAGCUUGCUUCUCUGAUGUUAGCGGCGGACGGGUGAGUAACACGUGGAUAACCUACCUAUAAGACUGGGAUAACUUCGGGAAACCGGAGCUAAUACCGGAUGAUAUUUUGAACCGCAUGGUUCAAAAGUGAAAGACGGUCUUGCUGUCACUUAUAGAUGGAUCCGCGCUGCAUUAGCUAGUUGGUAAGGUAACGGCUUACCAAGGCAACGAUGCAUAGCCGACCUGAGAGGGUGAUCGGCCACACUGGAACUGAGACACGGUCCAGACUCCUACGGGAGGCAGCAGUAGGGAAUUUUCCGCAAUGGGCGAAAGCCUGACGGAGCAACGCCGCGUGAGUGAUGAAGGUCUUCGGAUCGUAAAACUCUGUUAUUAGGGAAGAACAUAUAUGUAAGUAACUGUGCACAUCUUGACGGUACCUAAUCAGAAAGCCACGGCUAACUACGUG
This 497-nucleotide ribosomal RNA is filed under the name uncultured bacterium. RNAcentral describes it as "partial 16S ribosomal RNA". It matches the Rfam family "Bacterial small subunit ribosomal RNA", at positions 28 to 507 of the family's 1533-position model. The record is from RNAcentral.